RNAcentral lists this ribosomal RNA (440 nucleotides) under uncultured bacterium. Its description in RNAcentral is "partial 16S ribosomal RNA". It matches the Rfam family "Bacterial small subunit ribosomal RNA", at positions 338 to 795 of the family's 1533-position model. The record is from RNAcentral.
CCUACGGGAGGCAGCAGUGGGGGAUAUUGCACAAUGGGGGAAACCCUGAUGCAGCGACGCCGCGUGUGGGAAGACGGUCCUCUGGAUUGUAAACCACUGUCCCCAGGGACGAAGAUGACGGUACCUGGGGAGGAAGCUCCGGCUAACUACGUGCCAGCAGCCGCGGUAAUACGUAGGGAGCGAGCGUUGUCCGGAAUUACUGGGUGUAAAGGGAGCGUAGGCGGGCGAGAAAGUUGAAUGUUAAAUCUACCGGCUUAACUGGUAGCUGCGUUCAAAACUUCUUGUCUUGAGUGAAGUAGAGGCAGGCGGAAUUCCUAGUGUAGCGGUGAAAUGCGUAGAUAUUAGGAGGAACACCAGUGGCGAAGGCGGCCUGCUGGGCUUUAACUGACGCUGAGGCUCGAAAGCGUGGGGAGCAAACAGGAUUAGAUACCCUUGUAGUC